AGAGUUUGAUCCUGGCUCAGGAUGAACGCUAGCGGCAGGCUUAACACAUGCGAGUCGAGGGGCAGCGCGAUGUAGCAAUACAUUGGCGGCGACCGGCGCACGGGUGCGUAACACGUAUGAAAUCUGCCCUGUACUGGGAGAUAACCCGGAGAAAUCCGGACUAAUAUCCCAUAAUAAACGAGAUGGCAUCAUCUUGUUUUGAAAGCUCCGGCGGUACAGGAUGAUCAUGCGCACGAUUAGCUAGUUGGUGAGGUAAUGGCUCACCAAGGCUACGAUCGUUAGGGGGCCUGAGAGGGUUAUCCCCCACACUGGUACUGAGACACGGACCAGACUCCUACGGGAGGCAGCAGUGAGGAAUAUUGCGCAAUGGAGGCAACUCUGACGCAGCCAUGCCGCGUGCAGGAAGAAGGCGCUACGCGUUGUAAACUGCUUUUAACCGGGAAGAAACCCCAGGACGUGUCCUGGGUUGACGGUACCGGAGGAAUAAGCACCGGCUAACUUCGUGCCAGCAGCCGCGGUAAUA
RNAcentral lists this ribosomal RNA (523 nucleotides) under uncultured bacterium. RNAcentral's name for it is "bacterial SSU rRNA". It matches the Rfam family "Bacterial small subunit ribosomal RNA", at positions 8 to 525 of the family's 1533-position model. The record is from RNAcentral.